This 926-nucleotide ribosomal RNA is filed under the name uncultured Bacteroidota bacterium. Its description in RNAcentral is "bacterial SSU rRNA". It matches the Rfam family "Bacterial small subunit ribosomal RNA", at positions 1 to 917 of the family's 1533-position model. Lineage: Bacteria; Pseudomonadati; Bacteroidota. The record is from RNAcentral.
UGGAUCCAGACUUUGAUUCUGGCUCAGGAUGAACGCUAGCUACAGGCUUAACACAUGCAAGUCGAGGGGAAACGAUAUUGGAAGCUUGCUUCCGAUAGGCGUCGACCGGCGCACGGGUGAGUAACGCGUAUCCAACCUGCCCAUCACUUGGGAAUAACCUUGCGAAAGUAAGACUAAUGCCCAAUGACAUUUAUAGAAGGCAUCUGAAAUGAAUUAAAGAUUUAUCGGUGAUGGAUGGGGAUGCGUCUGAUUAGCUUGUUGGCGGGGUAACGGCCCACCAAGGCGACGAUCAGUAGGGGUUCUGAGAGGAAGGUCCCCCACAUUGGAACUGAGACACGGUCCAAACUCCUACGGGAGGCAGCAGUGAGGAAUAUUGGUCAAUGGGCGAGAGCCUGAACCAGCCAAGUAGCGUGCAGGAUGACGGCCCUAUGGGUUGUAAACUGCUUUUAUAGGGGAAUAAAGUGAGCCACGUGUGGUUUUUUGCAUGUACCCUAUGAAUAAGGACCGGCUAAUUCCGUGCCAGCAGCCGCGGUAAUACGGAAGGUCCGGGCGUUAUCCGGAUUUAUUGGGUUUAAAGGGAGCGUAGGCCGGAGAUUAAGCGUGUUGUGAAAUGUAGAUGCUCAACAUCUGAACUGCAGCGCGAACUGGUUUCCUUGAGUACGCAUAAAGUGGGCGGAAUUCGUGGUGUAGCGGUGAAAUGCUUAGAUAUCACGAAGAACUCCGAUUGCGAAGGCAGCUCACUGGGGCGCAACUGACGCUGAAGCUCGAAAGCGCGGGUAUCGAACAGGAUUAGAUACCCUGGUAGUCCGCGCGGUAAACGAUGGAUGCCCGCUGUUGGGCCAACUGGUUCAGCGGCCAAGCGAAAGCAUUAAGCAUCUCACCUGGGGAGUACGCCGGCAACGGUGCAACUCAAAGGAAUUGACGGA